UCAUGUUCAUCUCAACACCUGUUCAUCUUUGCACUACGGGCCAAAGAUAUUCAUUAGUUAAUCAUUCAUCUUUGCACUACAGGCCAAAGAUAUUCAUUUAUAUCACCAUUUAGGACUGAGGAUGAUGAAAAAUCAAAACAUGGAUUAAACUUUAUGAAUAAGGGUCACAACAGAUAAUUUGGAAGAAAAUAAAUUAUUAUUUUUUUGUGAACAGUACCC
RNAcentral lists this long non-coding RNA (219 nucleotides) under Panax ginseng (ginseng). RNAcentral describes it as "long non-coding RNA (PGIN_LNC014611)". The record is from RNAcentral. Lineage: Eukaryota; Viridiplantae; Streptophyta; Magnoliopsida; Apiales; Araliaceae.